Molecule: unclassified non-coding RNA, 300 nt
Filed under: uncultured Pluteus
Lineage: Eukaryota; Fungi; Basidiomycota; Agaricomycetes; Agaricales; Pluteaceae
Description: sequence contains 5.8S rRNA gene, ITS2
Rfam family: 5.8S ribosomal RNA (bases 1-71)
Source: RNAcentral
GUGAAUCAUCGAAUCUUUGAACGCACCUUGCGCUCCUUGGUAUUCUGAGGAGCAUGCCUGUUUGAGUGUCAUUAAAUCCUCAACCCACCUUCCUUGUGAAUGAGUGAGGUUGGAUGUGGAAGUUUGCUGGCUUUAUCAGUCAGCUCUUCUGAAAUGCAUUAGCAGGGCUGCUGUAUUGCGAUGCUGCCGCUUGGUAUUGAUAGUUGUCUUACCAAGUGUGUCUGAGUUAGCAAUGUGCCCCAGCUUCUAGUCGUCUCUCUGGGACAAAAUUUGACGAUUUGACCUCAAAUCAGGUAGGAC